This 468-nucleotide ribosomal RNA is filed under the name uncultured bacterium. RNAcentral's name for it is "partial 16S ribosomal RNA". It matches the Rfam family "Bacterial small subunit ribosomal RNA", at positions 28 to 507 of the family's 1533-position model. The record is from RNAcentral.
GACGAACGCUGGCGGCGUGCUUAACACAUGCAAGUCGAACGGAAAGGCCCUGCUUUUGUGGGGUGCUCGAGUGGCGAACGGGUGAGUAACACGUGAGUAACCUGCCCUUGACUUUGGGAUAACUUCAGGAAACUGGGGCUAAUACCGGAUAGGAGCUCCUGCUGCAUGGUGGGGGUUGGAAAGUUUCGGCGGUUGGGGAUGGACUCGCGGCUUAUCAGCUUGUUGGUGGGGUAGUGGCUUACCAAGGCUUUGACGGGUAGCCGGCCUGAGAGGGUGACCGGCCACAUUGGGACUGAGAUACGGCCCAGACUCCUACGGGAGGCAGCAGUGGGAAGUAUUGCACAGUGGGCGGAAGCCUGAUGCGGCAACGCCGCGUGCGGGAUGACGGCCUUCGGGUUGUAAACCGCUUUCGCCUGUGACGAAGCGUGAGUGACGGUACUGGGUAAAGAAGCACCGGCUAACUACGUG